UUCUUCUUGUCACUGGGUCUUUUAAGUCAUUAUUGUGGAAUCACUGCAAUGUUGUAGAUCCAUCCUCAGUGUUCUACCGUCACAGACAUUAAACUCUGUAGCCGUUUUAAAACCAUCACUGGCCUCAUGGCGACAUCCCUGAGCAGUUUCCUUCCUGUCCUGCAGCUCAGUUCAGAAGGACGUCUGUAUCUUUCAUCUGUCUGGGUGCUUUAAUAUAUAAUCCACAGCAUAAUGAUUAACUUGACUAUGCUUAAAGAGAUAUUCAAUGUCUGAUUUUUUUUUUUUUUAAUCUACCAAUCACCUCUCUUCUUUAUGAGGCUUUUGAAAAGCUCCCUGGUCUUUGCAGUUCAAUCUGUCCUUGAAAUUCAAUAUUUGACUGAGGGACCUUACAGAUGUUGUAUAUAUGUGGGACAGAGGAAAAGAAAGUCAAUCAAAAAUCAUGUCAAUCCCUAUUAUUUCACACAGGGUGAGUCCAUGUAAAUUAGUAUGCGAUUUGUUAAGGCACAUUUCACUCCUGAACUAAUCACACUGAAACAAAGGGGCUGAAUACUUAUGCAACUACUAAACACUGAGUGGACAAAAAAUUAGGAACACUAGCUUUUUCCAUGACAUAGACUGACCAGGUGAAUCCAGGUGAAAGCUAUGAUCCCUUAUUGAUGUCACUUGUUAAAUCCACUUCAAUCAGUGUAGAUGAAGGGGAGGAGACAGGUUAAAGAAGGAUUUAUAAGCCUUGAGUCAAUUGAGACAUGGAUUGUGUAUGUGUGUCAUUCAGAGGGUGAAUGGGCAAGACAAAAUAUUUAUGUGCCUUUGAACGGGGGGAUGGUAAAAGGUGCCAGGCGCACCGGUUUGAGUCAAGAACUGUAAAGCUGCUGGGGUUUUCACUCUCAACAGUUUCCUCUGUGUAUCAAGAAUGGUCCACCACCCAAAGGACAUCCUGGGGCAAUAUUGGAUGAAUCACAAUAAUUGUUCGCUAAAAUAAUAAUUGCUUGACAAAAAUGUAAUUAUUGUUAUGGCAAUCCUUGUUAGAAGUAACAAUCCUGGUUAGAAGUAACAAUCCUGGUUAAAGGUAACAAUCCUGGUUAAAGGUAACAAUCCUGGUUAAAGGUAACAAUCCUGGUUAGAGGUAACAAUCCUGGUUAAAGGUAACAAUCCUGGUUAGAGGUAACAAUCCUGGUUAAAGGUAACAAUCCUGGUUAGAGGUAACAAUCCUGGUUAGAGGUAACAAUCCUGGUUAGAGGUAACAAUCCUGGUUAGAGGUAACAAUCCUGGUUAAAG
Molecule: long non-coding RNA, 1275 nt
Filed under: Salmo salar (Atlantic salmon)
Lineage: Eukaryota; Metazoa; Chordata; Actinopteri; Salmoniformes; Salmonidae
Description: lncRNA (ENSSSAG00000087333.1)
Source: RNAcentral